Non-coding RNA from Monodelphis domestica (gray short-tailed opossum), 1004 nucleotides. The record is from RefSeq and is a predicted model, not a curated record. NCBI's taxonomy places the organism in Eukaryota, Metazoa, Chordata, Mammalia, Didelphimorphia, Didelphidae.
AGCAGCGGCGGCAAAGAGCGGGAGAAAGGAGCAAUGGGCGCUACCAGAGGGCAUUGAGGAGAGAAAAGGGACCCGGCUGGAGACCUCUGCCAGCCUGUGCCAAGAGCGGCAGGCCAUUGUGUUUUGAGCCUGGGGCUGAGAUUCACUAGACUGAAUGAUUAGCUUGGAGGGAAAAAAAAAGGCUUACUGAGACCUGAUAACACUGCAGGAUCCAUAAAUAUACUUUAAGAACCAAAGGAGAGUGAAUAAAUUGGCAAUGAGAUUGAUCCACAAUGGGCCAGAGAAGAUGGAUGAACAUAUUUCUUUAAUGUUUUAAUUUACAAAAGUGCUACUUUCCUUCCAACAAGCAAUUAGUGAUUAUAAAUGGUAUUGCAUGACAUAUCAGCCCCUGAAGCAGAAGAGAAUAAAGAGAGAUAUAGUCUAAUCUUGAACCAAAAAAAAUUUGAAAGGUGUCAAAGUUCCUGUAACUAGGGCCACUGAUCCACUUUCAUAGUGUGAUGAUGAGAAGGUGGGUAGGUUUCCCAGACCCAAUACCUUGAACAUUUAAAUUCCUGACUUUCUUCCCAAGACAGCAGCCCUACUAGAAGAUAAUGGUAGGGAAUGAAUCUUGUCAGAGCCAGCUGAAGAAAAGUAUGGGGCUAAGCACCAAAUCUGAACCACUUUAGUUUAGAAGUUUAGUUUAGUUUAGCAGAUAUACUUGGAAGAACUAUUGACAUUGAACUCUCCUGGAUCCAGUGAUUUCUAAAUUUCACUAAUACUUUGAUCUCAUUUCUUGAUACUACCCAUGAGAUUUCCUGGGUACUACUUUGAACUAAGGAGUAGGAUUCUUCACCCUUGUCCUGAUAUUUGACUUCCAACUCACCACGUUUACAGAUUGUCUUACCACUAUCCUCAUCUUGCCCAUAAUGUUAAACCCCUUGUAACCUGGAUGGUGACUGAAAUUUUGUAACCCUCCAUUGAUACUACAGACACCUAGACCAUAUCUAACAAUGGGUUUAACACUG